RNAcentral lists this long non-coding RNA (316 nucleotides) under Mytilus galloprovincialis (Mediterranean mussel). Lineage: Eukaryota; Metazoa; Mollusca; Bivalvia; Mytilida; Mytilidae. The record is from RNAcentral.
UGAUUAGCAAAUUAGAAUUAUAUGUAUUUUUUAUUAGACCUGACUAAAAAUUGAAACCGAUCUCCCAAAUGCGAAGCUAGAACGCUAACCACUACACCACACCUCAUUCAAUAGAGUUCUUACUUCAGACCAUCGCAUUUAGCUGGAAUAAACCAUCACACAGUUUCAUUAAAGUCAACUUUAUAGUUAGACCAUCUCUGACAGAGCCGCCAUCGCACUUCAGCGUAGAUAUCAACAAGUUAACGUCACAAUGUUACCAUCGCACUUCAGCGUGUUAACCAACGCACUUCAGCGUACACCAUCGCAAUUCAGCGUG